GAGCCAUUAGCUCAGUUGGUAGAGCAUCUGACUUUUAAUCAGAGGGUCGANNGUUCGAGCCUGUCACGGCUCA
This 73-nucleotide transfer RNA is filed under the name Pediococcus acidilactici. Its description in RNAcentral is "tRNA-Lys". It matches the Rfam family "tRNA". Rfam says of the family: Transfer RNA (tRNA) molecules are approximately 80 nucleotides in length. Lineage: Bacteria; Bacillati; Bacillota; Bacilli; Lactobacillales; Lactobacillaceae. The record is from RNAcentral.